Molecule: non-coding RNA, 120 nt
Organism: Ciborinia camelliae
Lineage: Eukaryota; Fungi; Ascomycota; Leotiomycetes; Helotiales; Sclerotiniaceae
Source: the annotation of a GenBank genome assembly
UCCCUCGUGGCGCAAUUGGCUAGCGCGUUCGACUGUUAUCACUCUCUUCUCAUUCUUAAACCGAUGUAGAAGACGAAAUUCCAAAUCGAGAGGUUGGUGGUUCAAGCCCACCCGAGGGAG